UACGGAGGGUGCAAGCGUUAUCCGGAUUCACUGGGUUUAAAGGGUGCGUAGGUGGGCAGGUAAGUCAGUGGUGAAAUCUCUGGGCUCAACUCAGAAACUGCCAUUGAUACUAUUUGUCUUGAAUACCGUGGAGGUCAGCGGAAUAUGUCAUGUAAGCGGUGAAAUGCUUAGAUAUGACAUAGAACACCAAAUUGCGAAGGCAGCUCACUAACACAAAAG
RNAcentral lists this ribosomal RNA (219 nucleotides) under uncultured bacterium. Its description in RNAcentral is "partial 16S ribosomal RNA". It matches the Rfam family "Bacterial small subunit ribosomal RNA", at positions 524 to 739 of the family's 1533-position model. The record is from RNAcentral.